UUCGCAAUGCCCGAAAGGGUGACGAAGCGACGCCGCGUGGGUGAGGAAGGCCCUCGGGUUGUAAAGCCCUGUCAGGAGUUAAGAAAUGUAGGUACGCUAAUAUCGUAUCUAUUUGACAAAGGCUCCAAAGGAAGCCACGGCUAACUCUGUGCCAGCAGCCGCGGUAAUACAGAGGUGGCAAGCGUUGUUCGGAAUUACUGGGCGUAAAGAGCACGUAGGUGGAUUUGUAAGUCAGAUGUGAAAGCCUUCUGUUCAACGGGAGAAUUGCAUCUGAAACUACAAACCUUGAGUAUAGGAGGGGAGAAUGGAACUUCUGGUGGAGCGGUGAAAUGCGUAGAUAUCAGAAGGAACGCCGGCGGCGAAAGCGAUUCUCUGGCCUAUUACUGACACUCAGUGUGCGAAAGCUAGGGGAGCAAACGGGAUUAGAUACCCCGGUAGUCCUAACCGUAAACGAUGGGCACUAAGUAGAGGGGUUUU
RNAcentral lists this ribosomal RNA (477 nucleotides) under Candidatus Scalindua brodae. RNAcentral's name for it is "bacterial SSU rRNA". It matches the Rfam family "Bacterial small subunit ribosomal RNA", at positions 365 to 832 of the family's 1533-position model. The record is from RNAcentral. Lineage: Bacteria; Pseudomonadati; Planctomycetota; Candidatus Brocadiia; Candidatus Brocadiales; Candidatus Scalinduaceae.